Numida meleagris (helmeted guineafowl) is the source of this 1604-nucleotide long non-coding RNA. The record is from Ensembl. Lineage: Eukaryota; Metazoa; Chordata; Aves; Galliformes; Numididae.
UAUGACGUAUCCCCUGCUCUGCGCAGAUUGGUGAACUGAGCAGCCCUGAGCAGAGCUGGGCGCUGCCGGGGGCCCCAGGCGGGCGGGGCAGUGGGUCACAGUGGGGCCCAUUGUGACGCGUCUCCGUGCCCCUGAGGUGCAGCCGUGCCGGCGCUGUGCCCCACACUUUCUGUCAGGACUCCGCUGGGUCAGGACAGGAGCAGGCCGACGCCGCCCGCCGCCCCUCAGAGCAAAUCGCAGCGUUUCCCUCCAGGGCUGGAGGGAACCUCGGCCGCCUGGGCCCUGCCCCCUCCCCAGCCUCAGCCCUCCUCCUCUGCGAUGGCGGAGAGAGCCGCCCCCUGCCCCUCGGAGGCCGAGGAGAAGCACGCGGUCCUCCUGGGGCCCGCUGCUGCGUCGCGCGGUGAGCGAGGGUCCCCGCAGGGCCGGGGGGGAGCGCCUUCUGCUGGGGGCUGCCUCUGGGGCUGCGCAGGGCGGCCAAGGGCAGAGCCCCUCCUCUUCUCGCUCUGCUCUGGGCUCCUCUGCCCGAACCCUGAGCCCAAACCCGAACCCUAACCCCAGCCUUAAUUCCAACCCCGGCCCUAACGCUGGCUGUAACCCCAACCCCAACCUCGAUCCUAACCCUAACCCCAACCUGAAACCCACCUGGAAUUCUGACUCUAACCCCAGCUCUGACCCCACCCCACCCCCUACCCCCACUUCCCUGCUCAGACACUUCCAAGCCAGCCGUGUACUCCUAUGAGCCUGAUGCAGUGGACACCAUUGAGGCCUUUGUCCGGAGCACAGUGAAGGACAAGGAGCAGAAGAUGAAAUUCCUGCAGAGCAUCUGCACCGUCUGCGACACAGCGGUGAAGAAGGACAUGGAGCAGGAUCUGCGCACCUUCUGCUGCCGGAAUGAACUGGCUGAGAAGAUCAUGGAGCUGCUGGCAGAGGAGCACGGAAAGCUACGCUUGGAACUGUGGCAGCUCGCCAUGGCCGCCAUCACUGCCCUCAGCACGGUGAAGGCGGCGUUGGAGGAGAGGCUCCCUCUCUUUGUUGUGUGCUUCUGCAGCAUCCUCCUGCUUCCCUUGGAGCAGGAUGUGAACACCAGCCUUUACUCCAAGGCCGUGGAGCCUCUGGACCGGAUGCUGGACACACUGGUGUUCGUCCACCCCACGGCCAGCAUUGGCCACCAGCUGCACAGAGUCUUUCAGGUUCUGCUGACUUUCACCUGCUCGCUGAGCGUGGCUGUGCGCCAGAGGGCAGUAGGGUGGAUCUGGAAGAUGAGCGAUUCGUUAGCGCACUUCUGCCAGGGCAGGCCCCAUCGCUCCUUGGGACGAACCUGUUCGGUCAGCUACAAAGACCUUCACAUGCCUGUGCUGGGGGAGCUAGUGGGAAGCCUCAUCCUGUGCUGCGCCUACCCGGAGGACAGGACGCACUUUUUUGCUUUGCACGCUCUCCGUCAGCUCUACAUAUUUAUCCUGUGGAGAACCCGCCAGGAAGCACUGUCGGAGGAGCAGGACAAACUCAAGCAGUGGGAAGCUGACCGCAGGUUCUCCCGCUCUUGGACCACCGACCCCAUGAUCAUUUUGGUGGUGAGGAGAGCUCGCCACGCUGGCACUCUUGGC